This 93-nucleotide transfer RNA is filed under the name Mycoplasmopsis californica. RNAcentral describes it as "Mycoplasma californicum tRNA-Ser(cga)". It matches the Rfam family "tRNA". From Rfam's summary of the family: Transfer RNA (tRNA) molecules are approximately 80 nucleotides in length. The record is from RNAcentral. Lineage: Bacteria; Bacillati; Mycoplasmatota; Mycoplasmoidales; Metamycoplasmataceae. RNAcentral also lists the same sequence under 1 other name.
GGACAAUUACCCAAGCCCGGUUGAAGGGGACGGUCUCGAAAACCGUUAGGAGAGGCAACUCUCGCGGGGGUUCGAAUCCCUCAUUGUCCGCCA